UACGAAGGGGGCGAGCGUUGUUCGGAUUUACUGGGCGUAAAGGGCGCGUAGGCGGCGUGACAAGUCACUUGUGAAAUCUCUGGGCUUAACCCAGAACGGCCAAGUGAAACUGUUGUGCUAGAGUGCAGAAGGGGCAAUCGGAAUUCUCGGUGUAGCGGUGAAAUGCGUAGAUAUCGAGAGGAACACCAGAGGUGAAGACGGGUUGCUGGGCUGACACUGACGCUGAUGCGCGAAAGCCAGGGGAGCAAACGGG
RNAcentral lists this ribosomal RNA (253 nucleotides) under uncultured bacterium. RNAcentral's name for it is "partial 16S ribosomal RNA". It matches the Rfam family "Bacterial small subunit ribosomal RNA", at positions 524 to 776 of the family's 1533-position model. The record is from RNAcentral.